GUGCAGCAGGCGAGAAUAGUCUACAAUGGACGAAAGUCUGAUAGUGCGACGCCGUGUGUGCGAUUAAUUCCUUCGGGAUGUAAAGCACUUUUCUAUGAGAUAAAAGCUCUUUAGGUUAAUAGCUUAUUGAGACGGAUAUUAUUAUAGGAAUAAGCUCCGGCUAACUCCGUGCCAGCAGCCGCGGUAAUACGGAAGGAGCGAGCGUUGUCCGGAUUUACUAGGCGUAAAGGGCUAGUAGGCGACUAAUUAAGGUUAUAUGUUAAAUCCCCACGGCUCAACUGUGGUCCUGCAUGUAAUACUGGUUAGAUAGAGUACUGUAGAGGAAGGCAGAAUUCCUGGAGUAGCGGUGGAAUGCGCAGAUAUCAGGAAGAAUACCAAAAGCGAAGGCAGCCUUCUGGGCAGUUACUGACGCUUGAAUAGCGAAGGUGU
RNAcentral lists this ribosomal RNA (429 nucleotides) under uncultured microorganism. Its description in RNAcentral is "bacterial SSU rRNA". It matches the Rfam family "Bacterial small subunit ribosomal RNA", at positions 346 to 762 of the family's 1533-position model. The record is from RNAcentral.